RNAcentral lists this long non-coding RNA (411 nucleotides) under Manihot esculenta (cassava). Its description in RNAcentral is "long non-coding RNA (MESC_LNC002328)". Lineage: Eukaryota; Viridiplantae; Streptophyta; Magnoliopsida; Malpighiales; Euphorbiaceae. The record is from RNAcentral.
GAUUUUGUGAAGGUGGUAUCAUUUUUGUAAAAGGUUUAUUCAUUUGUUUUUUGGCUGGAUCUAUGUCAUAUGGUUUUGGAUUACUAUAUCUCUGGGAUAAAUAUAUAGUAUUUGGUUUAGGAUGUAUAGGCGAGGGUGCUUGUGGUGUUUCUAUGUGUUCUAUAUUCGUUAUUUCUUCAUGAUUUCUGUCUAUUUUUUCUUCCAUUCUAUCUAACUGUUGUCCUAUUAUAUGUAAUGAUACAUUGGUCCAAUUGUUUUGUAAUGUGAUAUCUCUGGUGUGGUUUUUUGCUAUAUGUGUAGUAUCUACAAUCGGUUGCAUUCCAUGAGAUAUUUGGUUUUUUCUGAAAAAUAUUCUAUCUAGUGGUGGUCUUUCACAUUCAUGUGCUAAAUCACUAGGUUCUCCUGAAUUAC